UGCAUUCACUACUGUAAGUCGCUCUGGAUAAGAGCGUCUGCUAAAUGACGUGAA
Molecule: non-coding RNA, 54 nt
Organism: Salmo salar (Atlantic salmon)
Lineage: Eukaryota; Metazoa; Chordata; Actinopteri; Salmoniformes; Salmonidae
Source: Rfam